AUUGAACGCUGGCGGCAUGCUUUACACAUGCAAGUCGAGCGGCAGCGCGGGGGCAACCCUGGCGGCGAGCGGCGAACGGGUGAGUAAUGCAUCGGAACGUACCCUGGAGUGGGGGAUAACGCCGCGAAAGCGGCGCUAAUACCGCAUAUGCUCUGAGGAGGAAAGUGGGGGACCGCAAGGCCUCACGCUCUGGGAGCGGCCGAUGUCCGAUUAGCUAGUUGGUGAGGUAAAGGCUUACCAAGGCGACGAUCGGUAGCUGGUCUGAGAGGAUGAUCAGCCACACUGGGACUGAGACACGGCCCAGACUCCUACGGGAGGCAGCAGUGGGGAAUUUUGGACAAUGGGGGCAACCCUGAUCCAGCCAUGCCGCGUGAGUGAAGAAGGCCU
RNAcentral lists this ribosomal RNA (387 nucleotides) under uncultured bacterium. RNAcentral's name for it is "bacterial SSU rRNA". It matches the Rfam family "Bacterial small subunit ribosomal RNA", at positions 29 to 417 of the family's 1533-position model. The record is from RNAcentral.